UCCCUGGUGGUCCAGUGGUUAAAACUCUGCACUCUCAAUGCAGGGGGCCCAGGCUCGAUCCCUGGUCAGGGAA
RNAcentral lists this transfer RNA (73 nucleotides) under Bos taurus (domestic cattle). It matches the Rfam family "tRNA". From Rfam's summary of the family: Transfer RNA (tRNA) molecules are approximately 80 nucleotides in length. Their secondary structure includes four short double-helical elements and three loops (D, anti-codon, and T loops). Further hydrogen bonds mediate the characteristic L-shaped molecular structure. tRNAs have two regions of fundamental functional importance: the anti-codon, which is responsible for specific mRNA codon recognition, and the 3' end, to which the tRNAs corresponding amino acid is attached (by aminoacyl-tRNA synthetases). tRNAs cope with the degeneracy of the genetic code in two manners: having more than one tRNA (with a specific anti-codon) for a particular amino acid; and 'wobble' base-pairing, i.e. permitting non-standard base-pairing at the 3rd anti-codon position. The record is from Rfam by way of RNAcentral. Lineage: Eukaryota; Metazoa; Chordata; Mammalia; Artiodactyla; Bovidae. RNAcentral also lists the same sequence under 1 other name.